AACGACUCCAUCUGGAAAAUCAGAAGAACAUUUGGAAAAAUCUGUAAGUAGGAAGGAAGGAAGUACAGCUCAGGACAACUUCCUGUCUGAUUGUUUGCUGCUUUAGAACACAAUGCACAAACAGCAUCCAUCGCUACGGUAACAGAAAAAACACUUCCUGUGCUGAAGAACAAUCCACUCGUCCACUACUGAGGGUCCCUAAGAGGCCAGCAGCAGCGUGCUUCAGUCCAGAGACACAGAUGACGGUAUAAUGGCUCUCUGCCAGGAGGAGACCGCGGGCGCAAGAGGAGCCGCUUCGCUCUUCACAGGAGGACCAGAGCUAACGGCGUCAAGCCCAGCACCGUACACAUCCUCAGCAACCCACACAACAGCGAGGUGCGUGUUUCAUUCAGCUAGGAGGCUUCUUAAACACAGUGCAUUGUGGGAUAGUGAAGCUCCGUGACCUGUCCCUGCAGGCGGUGAACAGCAGGGGGCAGCACAGCAUCUCCUUCACCCUCUCCAGGAACCAGACCGUGGUGGUGGAGUACUGCCAUGAGGACCACACAGACAUGUUCCAGAUCGGCCGCUCCACCGAGAGCCCCAUAGACUUCAUGUUGACGGACAC
Carassius auratus (goldfish) is the source of this 604-nucleotide RNA transcript. It is a transcript of the gene named E3 ubiquitin-protein ligase pellino homolog 2-like, with no coding region annotated. Lineage: Eukaryota; Metazoa; Chordata; Actinopteri; Cypriniformes; Cyprinidae. The transcript is spliced from 3 exons. The record is from RefSeq and is a predicted model, not a curated record.